UCCUAGCCCUGAUGGAAGCGGCAUCCUUUUGUGGCGGGGUUCGCCACAAAAGAUAUAGCGGACAGCAGGAUUAAGC
RNAcentral lists this small RNA (76 nucleotides) under Flavobacterium hercynium. RNAcentral describes it as "Flavo-1 RNA". It matches the Rfam family "Flavo-1 RNA". The record is from Rfam by way of RNAcentral. Lineage: Bacteria; Pseudomonadati; Bacteroidota; Flavobacteriia; Flavobacteriales; Flavobacteriaceae.